This 31-nucleotide non-coding RNA is filed under the name Mus musculus (house mouse). The record is from RNAcentral. Lineage: Eukaryota; Metazoa; Chordata; Mammalia; Rodentia; Muridae.
UUUCUUGAUAGACCAAUGUGCCAAGCAGACC